Molecule: ribosomal RNA, 466 nt
Filed under: uncultured bacterium
Lineage: Bacteria
Description: partial 16S ribosomal RNA
Rfam family: Bacterial small subunit ribosomal RNA
Source: RNAcentral
ACGAACGCUGGCGGCGUGCUUAACACAUGCAAGUCGAACGGAAAGGCCCUGCUUUUGUGGGGUGCUCGAGUGGCGAACGGGUGAGUAACACGUGAGUAACCUGCCCUUGACUUUGGGAUAACUUCAGGAAACUGGGGCUAAUACCGGAUAGGAGCUCCUGCUGCAUGGUGGGGGUUGGAAAGUUUCGGCGGUUGGGGAUGGACUCGCGGCUUAUCAGCUUGUUGGCGGGGUAGUGGCUUACCAAGGCUUUGACGGGUAGCCGGCCUGAGAGGGUGACCGGCCACAUUGGGACUGAGAUACGGCCCAGACUCCUACGGGAGGCAGCAGUGGGGAAUAUGGCACAAUGGGCGGAAGCCUGAUGCAGCAACGCCGCGUGCGGGAGGACGGCCUUCGGGUGGUAAACCGCUUUCGCCUGUGACGAAGCGUGAGUGACGGUAAUGGGUAAAGAAGCACCGGCGAACUACGU